GGGGGUGACGCCUGCCCGGUGCUGGAAGGUUAAGAGGAUUUGUCAUCCGCAAGGAGAAGCAAUGAAUUGAAGCCCCAGUGAACGGCGGCCGUAACUAUAACGGUCCUAAGGUAGCGAAAUUCCUUGUCAGGUAAGUUCUGACCCGCACGAAAGGCGUAACGAUUUGGGCGCUGUCUCGGCAGCAGACUCGGUGAAAUCUUAGUACCUGUGAAAAUGCAGGUUACCCGCAACUAGACGGAAAGACCCCAUGGAGCUUUACUGUAGCCUGAUAUUGAAUUUUGAUCAAAGAUGUACAGGAUAGGUGGGAGGCGAAGAGACGUGUACGCCAGUAUACGAGGAGCCGCUGUUGGGAUACCACUCUUGUUUGAUUGAAGUUCUAACCUGCACCCAUGAACUGGGUGAGGGACCGUGUCAGGUGGGCAGUUUGACUGGGGCGGUCGCCUCCUAAAGAGUAACGGAGGCGCCCAAAGGUACGCUCAGAUUGGAUGGAAAUCAAUCGACGAGUGCAAAUGCAGAAGCGUGCUUGACUGUGAGACAAACAAGUCGAACAGGGACGAAAGUCGGGAUUAGUGAUCCGGCGGUGCCGAAUGGAAGGGCCGUCGCUCAACGGAUAAAAGCUACCCUGGGGAUAACAGGCUGAUCUCCCCCAAGCGUCCACAGCGACGGGGAGGUUUGGCACCUCGAUGUCGGCUCGUCACAUCCUGGGGCUGUAUUCGGUCCCAAGGGUUCGGCUGUUCGCCGAUUAAAGUGGCACGCGAGCUGGGUUCAGAACGUCGUGAGACAGUUCGGUCCCUAUCUGUUGCGGGCGUAAGAGAUUUGAAGGGAGCUGUCCUUAGUACGAGAGGACCGGGAUGGACGUACCUCUGGUGCACCAGUUGUCCUGCCAAGGGCAUAGCUGGGUAGCUAUGUACGGACGAGAUAAACGCUGAAGGCAUCUAAGCGUGAAACUCCCCCUAAGAUUAGAUCUCUCAUUCGAAAGAAGUAAGGCACGACGUAGACUAUGUCGUUGAUAGGCCGGAGGUGGAAGCACGGUAACGUGUGCAGCUGACCGGUACUAAUAAGCCGAGGGCUUGACCU
RNAcentral lists this ribosomal RNA (1077 nucleotides) under human gut metagenome. RNAcentral describes it as "bacterial LSU rRNA". It matches the Rfam family "Bacterial large subunit ribosomal RNA", at positions 1848 to 2925 of the family's 2925-position model. The record is from RNAcentral.